ACUGGCAGAGCCACAACGUGAAGCAGAGCGGCGUGGAUGACAUGGUGCUUCUUCCCCAGAUCACCGAAGACGCCAUCGCCGCCAACCUCCGGAAGCGCUUCAUGGACGACUACAUCUUCACCUACAUCGGCUCCGUGCUCAUCUCUGUAAACCCCUUCAAGCAGAUGCCCUACUUCACCGACCGUGAGAUCGACCUCUAUCAGGGCGCGGUGAGGCUGGGGCUGGGUGGGAGGCACAGCCCCAAGACUCCUGGCCCCCAGCCCUGGGCUGAGACCUGACCUCCCCCGCCAGGCCCAGUAUGAGAAUCCCCCGCACAUCUACGCCCUCACGGACAACAUGUACCGGAACAUGCUUAUCGACUGUGAGAACCAGUGUGUCAUCAUUAGUGGAGAGAGUGGAGCUGGGAAGACAGUGGCAGCCAAAUAUAUCAUGGGCUACAUCUCCAAGGUGUCUGGCGGAGGCGAGAAGGUCCAGCACGUCA
Molecule: small RNA, 481 nt
Filed under: Pan troglodytes (chimpanzee)
Lineage: Eukaryota; Metazoa; Chordata; Mammalia; Primates; Hominidae
Description: retained intron
Source: RNAcentral